CCUACGGGGUGCAGCAGUGAGGAAUAUUGGUCAAUGGGCGCGAGCCUGAACCAGCCAAGUAGCGUGAAGGAUGACUGCCCUACGGGUUGUAAACUUCUUUUAUAAAGGAAUAAAGUGAGGCACGUGUGCCUUUUUGUAUGUACUUUAUGAAUAAGGAUCGGCUAACUCCGUGCCAGCAGCCGCGGUAAUACGGAGGAUGCGAGCGUUAUCCGGAUUUAUUGGGUUUAAAGGGUGCGUAGGCGGUCCGGAAAGUCAGCGGUAAAAGCCCGGGGCUCAACCCCGGCGAGCCGUUGAAACUGUCGGACUAGAGACGGCGAGAAGUACGCGGAAUGCGCGGUGUAGCGGUGAAAUGCAUAGAUAUCGCGCAGAACUCCGAUUGCGAAGGCAGCUUACUAAACUGCCACUGACAUUGAUGCUCGAAAGUGUGGGUAUCAAACAGGAUUAGAUACCCCUGUAGUC
This 459-nucleotide ribosomal RNA is filed under the name uncultured bacterium. RNAcentral's name for it is "partial 16S ribosomal RNA". It matches the Rfam family "Bacterial small subunit ribosomal RNA", at positions 338 to 795 of the family's 1533-position model. The record is from RNAcentral.